CAGCCGCGGUAAUUCCAGCUCCAAUAGCGUAUAUUAAAGUUGUUGCAGUUAAAAAGCUCGUAGUUGAAUUUCGGAAUCAAUGGGGUUGGUCAUGCCCUCGGUAUGUACUGAUUUCAUUGGUUCUCACCUUCUAAGGAACCAUGAUGUCAUUUGUUUGAUGUUGUGGGAAAUUAGGACUGUUACCUUGAAAAAAUUAGAGUGUUUAAAGCAGGCUAACGCUUGAAUACAUUAGCAUGGAAUAAUGAAAUAGGACAUCCGAUUCUAUUUUGUUGGUUUCUAGGAUCGAUGUAAUGAUUAAUAGGGAUAGUUGGGGGGCAUUAGUAUUCAAUUGUCAGAGGUGAAAAUUCUUGGGAUUUAUUGAAGACUACUACUGCGAAAGCAUUUGCCAAGGAUGUUUUCAUUAAUCAAGAACGAAGUUAGGGGAUCGAAGACGAUCAGAUACCGUCGUAGUCUUAACCAUAAACUAUGCCGACUAGGGAUCGGAUGAUGUUAAUUUUAUAAUGACUCAUUCGGCACCUUACGGGAAAC
This 528-nucleotide ribosomal RNA is filed under the name uncultured Glomeromycotina. RNAcentral's name for it is "SSU rRNA". It matches the Rfam family "Eukaryotic small subunit ribosomal RNA", at positions 571 to 1098 of the family's 1831-position model. The record is from RNAcentral. Lineage: Eukaryota; Fungi; Glomeromycota.